Molecule: ribosomal RNA, 285 nt
Filed under: uncultured bacterium
Lineage: Bacteria
Description: partial 16S ribosomal RNA
Rfam family: Bacterial small subunit ribosomal RNA
Source: RNAcentral
GAUCCUACGGGAGGCAGCAGUGGGGGAUAUUGCACAAUGGGGGAAACCCUGAUGCAGCGACGCCGCGUGAGCGAUGAAGUAUUUCGGUAUGUAAAGCUCUAUCAGCAGGGAAGACAAAAGGACGGUACCUGCAGAAGAAGCCACGGCUAACUACGUGCCAGCAGCCGCGGUAAUACGUAGGUGGCAAGCGUUAUCCGGAAUUACUGGGUGUAAAGGGUGUGUAGGCGGGUUUGCAAGUCAGAUGUGAAAAUUAUGGGCUCAACCCAUAACCUGUGUCUGAAACUA